This 467-nucleotide ribosomal RNA is filed under the name uncultured bacterium. RNAcentral describes it as "partial 16S ribosomal RNA". It matches the Rfam family "Bacterial small subunit ribosomal RNA", at positions 28 to 506 of the family's 1533-position model. The record is from RNAcentral.
GACGAACGCUGGCGGCGUGCUUAACACAUGCAAGUCGAACCGAAAGGCCCUGCUUUUGUGGGGUGCUCGAGUGGCGAACGGGUGAGUAACACGUGAGUAACCUGCCCUUGACUUUGGGAUAACUUCAGGAAACUGGGGCUAAUACCGGAUAGGAGCUCCUGCUGCAUGGUGGGGGUUGGAAAGUUUCGGCGGUUGGGGAUGGACUCGCGGCUUAUCAGCUUGUUGGUGGGGUAGUGGCUUACCAAGGCUUUGACGGGUAGCCGGCCUGAGAGGGUGACCGGCCACAUUGGGACUGAGAUACGGCCCAGACUCUUACGGGAGGCAGCAGUGGGGAAUAUUGCACAAUGGGCGGAAGCCUGAUGCAGCAACGCCGCGUGCGGGAUGACGGCCUUCGGGUUGUAAACCGCUUUCGCCUGUGACGAAGCGUGAGUGACGGUAAUGGGUAAAGAAGCACCGGCUAACUACGU